RNAcentral lists this transfer RNA (83 nucleotides) under Canis lupus familiaris (dog). It matches the Rfam family "tRNA". From Rfam's summary of the family: Transfer RNA (tRNA) molecules are approximately 80 nucleotides in length. Their secondary structure includes four short double-helical elements and three loops (D, anti-codon, and T loops). The record is from Rfam by way of RNAcentral. Lineage: Eukaryota; Metazoa; Chordata; Mammalia; Carnivora; Canidae. RNAcentral also lists the same sequence under 1 other name.
GCCUGGGUGGCUCAGCGGUUGAGCAUCUGCCUGCGGCUCAGGUCAUGAUCCCACAGUCUUGGGAUCAAGUCCCACAUCAGGCU